UACGUAGGGUGCAAGCGUUAAUCGGAAUUACUGGGCGUAAAGCGUGCGCAGGCGGUUUUGUAAGACUGUCGUGAAAUCCCCGGGCUUAACCUGGGAAUGGCGAUGGUGACUGCAAGGCUAGAGUUUGGCAGAGGGGGGUAGAAUUCCACGUGUAGCAGUGAAAUGCGUAGAGAUGUGGAGGAACACCGAUGGCGAAGGCAGCCCCCUGGGUCAAAACUGACGCUCAUGCACGAAAGCGUGGGGAGCAAACAGG
This 253-nucleotide ribosomal RNA is filed under the name uncultured bacterium. Its description in RNAcentral is "partial 16S ribosomal RNA". It matches the Rfam family "Bacterial small subunit ribosomal RNA", at positions 524 to 776 of the family's 1533-position model. The record is from RNAcentral. RNAcentral also lists the same sequence under 1 other name.